UCCAUUUUCCGGAAGCAGUAUAUCAAAAGGAGUGACAGAAUAUAAAUACUGAGUUGUUUCCUUAUGGCCAUUAUUACAUGCCACUGUUACUGGGAGAUCAUCGUCUGCAAUAGUAACUAAAUCCAUGGUCUUUUUCAGCAUGCAUUCAGCAAUUUUUGUUGCUCCAGUAGCAGCAGCGCCAAUAAGAGCAGUCUCAUUCCGCUUAUCAACCGCAAGUACGUCUUCUACUGACAUUAACUCCACCAAAAACUCC
This 253-nucleotide long non-coding RNA is filed under the name Jatropha curcas. Its description in RNAcentral is "long non-coding RNA (JCUR_LNC003492)". The record is from RNAcentral. Lineage: Eukaryota; Viridiplantae; Streptophyta; Magnoliopsida; Malpighiales; Euphorbiaceae.